UUAAAAUGAGUUUAAAAUCACAUUUUUUAAUACCUUCAAACCACAUUCAAAUCGAACUGCAAAUAUACCAAAUAAUACUGAAAAUACCGAAAACUGCAGAAUCAGCUGCUCGCCGAACAGCACUCAGCGUGCUGUUGGACGCGAAAUGUUAGCCCAUUAAACCCAGGUUAUUUUUUGUCAUUCAUUGUUCAUACGUUCGUCUCGUCUGAUUUUCUUUUUAUAAAAACACAAUUAAAAUUUCAAACGAAUACACAUAAUGUUUAUAAAUAUAAUGUAGUGCAACACGUAUAUGUAUAAUAUAGCUUAAUACCAAGUGCAAUCCCCCGAAAUAUAACUUCAAAUGGCAAUCUAAUUUACGUAAAGAGAAGAGACAAAAAAAGAAACGGCGCGUGUGAAAUUUUUUCAAGCAAAGCAAAGGAGAGAAGUUGGAGCAACAUAAAAAAAGAGGAGAGAAAAAAUACAGCAACAACACACAAACGCGAUAAAUGAAUUAUGAAAAUAAAAGUCCCAAGUGCUCUUUUAGCAAUGAAAAUGUUUAGCCAAAAAACGAAAAGCAACAAAAACAGCGGCUUUAAGGCUGCUGGACAGGUUUCCCACGGCUAAAAAAAUGUAAAAUACGAAAAGGAGCAACACGACGGCGACGAAGAAGAAGAAGAAGCAGCAGCAAUGCGUGAAACGCGAAAGCAAAGUGAA
Long non-coding RNA from Drosophila simulans, 693 nucleotides. RefSeq lists it as uncharacterized. Lineage: Eukaryota; Metazoa; Arthropoda; Insecta; Diptera; Drosophilidae. The transcript has 2 exons. The record is from RefSeq and is a predicted model, not a curated record.